CAGCCGUUGAAACUGCCGGGCUCGAGUGGGCGAGAAGUAUGCGGAAUGCGUGGUGUAGCGGUGAAAUGCAUAGAUAUCACGCAGAACCCCGAUUGCGAAGGCAGCAUACCGGCGCCCUACUGACGCUGAGGCACGAAAGUGCGGGGAUCAAACAGGAUUAGAUACCCUGGUAGUCCGCACAGUAAACGAUGAAUGCUAGCUGUCCGGGGGGAUUGACCCCUGGGUGGCACAGCGAAAGCGUUAAGCAUUCCACCUGGGGAGUACGCCGGCAACGGUGAAACUCAAAGGAAUUGACGGGGGCCCGCACAAGCGGAGGAACAUGUGGUUUAAUUCGAUGAUACGCGAGGAACCUUACCCGGGCUCAAACGCCGAAGGGACAUUCCCCGAAAGGGGAAUGGCCAGCAAUGGUCUUCGGCGAGGUGCUGCAUGGUUGUCGUCAGCUCGUGCCGUGAGGUGUCGGCUUAAGUGCCAUAACGAGCGCAACCCCCACCGACAGUUGCUAACUGGUCAAGCAGAGGACUCUGUCGGGACUGCCGGCGCAAGCUGCGAGGAAGGCGGGGAUGACGUCAAAUCAGCACGGCCCUUACGUCCGGGGCGACACACGUGUUACAAUGGCAGGUACAGCGGGAUGCCAUGGGGCGACCCAGAGCGGAACCCGAAAACCUGUCUCAGUUCGGAUUGGAGUCUGCAACCCGACUCCAUGAAGCUGGAUUCGCUAGUAAUCGCGCAUCAGCCACGGCGCGGUGAAUACGUUCCCGGGCCUUGUACACACCGCCCGUCAAGCCAUGGGAGCCGGGGGUGCCUGAAGGCCGUGACCGCGAGGAGCGGCCUAGGGUAAAACUGGUGACUGGGGCUAAGUCGUAACAAGGUAACCGUAA
RNAcentral lists this ribosomal RNA (878 nucleotides) under uncultured bacterium. RNAcentral describes it as "bacterial SSU rRNA". It matches the Rfam family "Bacterial small subunit ribosomal RNA", at positions 621 to 1505 of the family's 1533-position model. The record is from RNAcentral.